GACGAACGCUGGCGGCGUGCCUAACACAUGCAAGUCGAACGGACAGGCCCUGCUUUUGUGCGGUGGUCGAGUGCCGAACGGGUGAGUAACACGUGAGUAACCUGCCCUUGACUUUGGGAUAACUUCAGGAAACUGGGGCUCAUACCGGAUAGGAUCUCCUGCAGCAUGGUGGGGGUUGGUGAGAUACGGCGGUAGUGGAUAGACUCGCUGCUUAUCAGCUUGUUGGUCGGGUAGUUGUUUACCAAGGCUUUGACGGGUAGGCGGCCUGAGAGGCUUACCGGGGACAUUGGGACUAAGAUAGGGCCCAGACUCGAACGUGAGGCAGCGGGGGAGAGUAUUGCAGAAUAAGGGGGAGCGUGAUGCAGCGGCGCCGGGUGCGGGAUGACGGCCUACGGGUUAUAAACCACUUUCGCAUGUGACGAGGAGUGAGUGACGGUAAUGGGUAAAGAAGCAACGGCUAACUACGUG
This 468-nucleotide ribosomal RNA is filed under the name uncultured bacterium. RNAcentral's name for it is "partial 16S ribosomal RNA". It matches the Rfam family "Bacterial small subunit ribosomal RNA", at positions 28 to 507 of the family's 1533-position model. The record is from RNAcentral.